Long non-coding RNA from Oncorhynchus masou masou (cherry salmon), 275 nucleotides. RefSeq lists it as uncharacterized. The record is from RefSeq and is a predicted model, not a curated record. The transcript is spliced from 4 exons. Lineage: Eukaryota; Metazoa; Chordata; Actinopteri; Salmoniformes; Salmonidae.
CAGCUGUAAUUACUAGAACACUUUGAGGAAGUCUGUUUCCCACCGAGCCACCAGUCUCUGAGAACCUCGUCUGACCAGACAUGAUGUUCGGCCGCCUGCUGCUUGCCUGUGUGUGUUUAAUCCCGGCGGAUCCAGUUCAGGCUACCUACAGACUUGUUCAGGUUCCAGAAGAAGCACAUUUUGCAGAGACGUUUGACUCAGAUCCUCUAGAUAGGAGAUGGGUCCAAUCCAAGGCUGUGAAAGAGACAGAUGCUGAGGCUCUCAAAUAUGAUGGU